This is a non-coding RNA of Trichonephila inaurata madagascariensis, 68 nucleotides long. The record is from the annotation of a GenBank genome assembly. NCBI's taxonomy places the organism in Eukaryota, Metazoa, Arthropoda, Arachnida, Araneae, Nephilidae.
UCGUGGUCUAAUGUUCAGAAUAACACGCUUCUAAUGCUUAGUCCUGGGUUCGAUUCCCAGGAGCUCAC